UGGGGAAUAUUGCACAAUGGAGGGAACUCUGAUGCAGCGACGCCGCGUGAACGAAGAAGGCUUUCGAGUCGUAAAGUUCUUUUAUAUGGGAAGAUAAUGACGGUACCAUAAGAAAAAGCCCCGGCUAACUACGUGCCAGCAGCCGCGGUAAUACGUAGGGGGCUAGCGUUGUCCGGAAUCACUGGGCGUAAAGGGUUCGCAGGCGGAAAUGCAAGUCAGGUGUAAAAGGCAGUAGCUUAACUACUGUAAGCAUUUGAAACUGCAUAUCUUGAGAAGAGUAGAGGUAAGUGGAAUUUUUAGUGUAGCGGUUAAAUGCGUAGAUAUUAAAAAGAAUACCGGUGGCGAAGGCGACUUACUGGGCUCAUUCUGACGCUGAGGAACGAAAGCGUGGGUAGCAAACAGG
RNAcentral lists this ribosomal RNA (403 nucleotides) under Fusobacteriota bacterium. Its description in RNAcentral is "Fusobacteria bacterium partial 16S ribosomal RNA". It matches the Rfam family "Bacterial small subunit ribosomal RNA", at positions 355 to 776 of the family's 1533-position model. The record is from RNAcentral. Lineage: Bacteria; Fusobacteriati; Fusobacteriota.